Macadamia integrifolia is the source of this 1764-nucleotide long non-coding RNA. RefSeq lists it as uncharacterized. The transcript is spliced from 2 exons. The record is from RefSeq and is a predicted model, not a curated record. NCBI's taxonomy places the organism in Eukaryota, Viridiplantae, Streptophyta, Magnoliopsida, Proteales, Proteaceae.
GGGGGUGGAGGUUCGUGCUGUCUCUGUGUUAGGAGAUCUGGCUUUUUCUGGACCUGUUGCUGGACCAUAUUGUAGUCCUUUGUACCAGAGAUUAUGAUUAGAUUGGUGGUGUGAUUGUCAUACAGGCUGAGAUUUGAACCUUGUUCAUCAAGAGAGGCGAAGAUACAAUGCUGUUACCCUGUCAGCAUUUACACAUUGCUCAUGGUAUAGCUGGAGAAGCAUUUACUCAUUUCUCAUGUUAAAGUUGGGGAAGGCAGAAAUUCCCUUUCUAAUGCAAACACAGGUUUUUUGAUAAAGAAACGCUUAUUUGGGUAUUCAUUUUGACAUAAGUUCUUGAUCACCUUAGAAACUAAAAUAAUUUCCCAUUUUCAUAUUACCUCUCUUACCAAGUAGUCAUGUUUUUACUUGUAUUUUUGUUUAGUAGAAAAUAAUCAAGCAAUUAACUGGCCAUCUUUGAGGUUUUUGUUAGUUUGGAGUCCAUCUCGGCCCCCAUCACACUGGCACUGUAGUUUUUUACAUCCAAACAACAUUUCGUCAACCAUUCAGAUGCAGAGGAUUGGAAAGGAUACUUAGUAGGUUAGCUGGAUGGGAACUGAGUUUGACGUUAAUAUUUCUCGGUCUUGAGGACAAAAAUUCUUUCAAAGUAGAAGACUAAGUAAGCCUGCGAUUUCGUACGGAAUAACCUCAUCAAAUUGGUCUCUUUGUACUGUAACACAAGUGGAAGAGGCAAAAAUUGUCCUUAGAAUGCUGCCUAUCUUCAUCAGCACUGUCUUUGCAUGCAUUCCCAUGCAUCUUCUCGCGACCUUUAGUCUACUACAGGCUAACACAAUGAGAACUACUAGAUUGGGAACAUUUACUAUGUCUCCAGUUUCUCUAAUUGCAAUCCCUUAUGCUCUGCAAAUGGUAUUUAUUGUUGUUUAUGAUUGAUUGUUCGUGCCACUCGCGAAAAGGAUCACUGGAUAUCAAACUGGAAUCACUCAACUACAACGUGUAGGUGUUGGCCUAAUGGAAUUACCAUUAACAAUGUGUAUAGCUGCCAUUAUAGAGAGAAAGGAAAAGAAUUGCAGAGGAAUAUGAUCUAAUAGACUCCAUUAAUACUCAUCUGCCCAUGUCAAUAACUUGGCUUGGGCCACAAUAUUUUGGAAUGGUAGUCAUUGGUCUGUUCACAUAUAUAGUAUUGCUGGAGUUCUUCAACAGUGAGACUUCUAGAGGAAUGAAGUCAAUGGGGUCUGCUAUGUUCUCCUGUGUGAUUGGAUUUUCUUCCUUGCUGAGUUCUGUUGUAGUGAAUGUAGUAAAGAAUGCUAGCAGAGAUGGAGAUGGUGGAAGAAAUGGAUGGAUGGAAGGAAACAACUUGAACAAGAGUUUCCUGGAUCGUUUCUACUGGCUGGUUUCUAUCUUUAGCUUGGUGGGGUCUUCGAACUAUAUGUAUUGGGCUCACAAGUAUGUGUAUAAGCGAAAUGGGCUUGCUAUAUUUCAAAAUGGCUGAAGCCCUUGUCUAGAAAAGAGAAUGAACAUCCUUCCUAAGGAAUCAAUUGAUAACAUAUAUUUGGUUAUCCUAUAUUUAUUUAUUAUUACCAAUCUUAUAUGCUGCUGUGGUGGAGUUAUUGGUUUUUUACUUUGCAGGGGAAGGGAUUAGUUUGGGAAUCUGAUCUGUAGUGGAAAGGGGCAUCACCUGUUGUAUGGCAUGUCACUUUAUUCUUAUACUGCCUGUUAUUUAUCCAGAAACAAUAUAAUAAAAUAAAAUCUUAUUUCUAGAUUCAUUAA